Molecule: long non-coding RNA, 587 nt
Filed under: Lathyrus oleraceus (garden pea)
Lineage: Eukaryota; Viridiplantae; Streptophyta; Magnoliopsida; Fabales; Fabaceae
Description: Pisum sativum (pea) long non-coding RNA (PSAT_LNC024676)
Source: RNAcentral
GGUUUUUUUCAACUUAUUUUGAAAUUGAAUUCUGGAACUUGAAGCUAUUGGUAAUUCAGGUUAGAGCUAUUUGUCAUGGUUAAUAGUGAAAUUCAUGGUAUGAACAAUUUAAAUGUGGUAGCAUAUUGUCAUGGGUUAAAUGUAGUUGCUUAGAGUUGUUUGUUUGCUAAUUGUUCUGUUCUUGAAAUACCUCAUGAGAUUGAACUAUUUCCAAAUACCUUAUUAAUAUGAUAGCUUCAAGUGAGUUCAAUUUUUGUUGUCCAGUUUGAUUUGUUUGUUGUGUUGGAGUUGUCAUAUGUAUACUUGAGAUGAAUAUUUAUAGGAACCAAUUGAAAUCAUAAUGUAAUGUAAUCAUCAAGAAGACUAAAGGAAAAAAAGAAAUAAAAAAGUUGAAGAUUGCAUGUUUAGUUGUUUAUAGGAAAGAAGUUUAUUUCUUUUAGAAAUGGUAAUUAAAGGGAGUGCGUGAUUAGAGGUUUCUGAGCUGGAGUUAAGCCUUUAUGCUGAAAAGAAGGGAAAAAGAAGUUGAAUGUUUAGGUGAAAAGAAAAUAGCCAAAUCAUUCCCACAUUUACACAAUAAAAGAUUUAGC